Astatotilapia calliptera (eastern happy) is the source of this 1840-nucleotide long non-coding RNA. The record is from Ensembl. NCBI's taxonomy places the organism in Eukaryota, Metazoa, Chordata, Actinopteri, Cichliformes, Cichlidae.
GCUGUGUGCAAAAUGCCACACUCUUCAAAUUCAUGCCAGCUAUUAUUUUUACGUCCAGUAGGUGUCCUGCUAGAGCAAAUGAAGCUUCAUGAAGCUUCGCGUUGGGGUGAACCAAUUGGAUGAAAAGCUUCAGUGCUUCAUGGGGCUUCAUCUGCCCAUCACUACCAAUCACGCUGCUCCAGGUCUCACCAGCGUUGCCCACAUGAGUGUUGAAGUCUCCCAGCAGGACAACAGGGUCUCAGGUGGAACUACCUCAAACACUCAGUGACUCCAAGAAGGCUGGGUACUCUGAAGCUCCAUUUGGCGCAGAAAAACAUAACCUUGAGCACUUAUGAUGAGCAUUUUUGUUUCCUCAUAAAGAAGGGAUCUAACCACGUUCACAUUAUAUUUUUUGGGUGUCUUAGCAUGUAGGUUUUGAAAAUGAAAAGCAGCUAUGUAACUCGUUUAGAACUGUGCUAAAACCUUAGAAUCUCAGCCAAACACAGAAGAAAAAAGACAGAAACUGGCUUCUCAGUUUCCUCAGUUAUCUUUGAAGUCAGCCAAUAGACUAAUUAUUAUCAGGAGCUAUUGCAGCUAACUAGCCACAUCAGAGCCACUUCUGCCUUUCUGUGUUUCAGCCUCAGUAACAUCUGCUCCACGUUUUACACCUCUGAUGAAAUCUCACAAGUGUAAGUUUAUUUUGAUACCAAGAUUGUUUACACAGAGCUUGUAAUUGCAGAACAAGGAACAAGUUAAUACUGGGCCACUGGUAUAUAAAGAGGUCAGUUGUUACCUUUGGCCUGUCAUGCUCAAACUCUCACAUUUCAAAGACUCUUUAGACUUUGGGGGUUCUUUUGAACAAUCUACAAGAACAUUUGAGAGCUACUGCCUCAAAGUUUGACUGAAGAAUAAGAUUUUUUUUUUUUUUUUUUUUUAAAUUCAACAUGAACUUAUUAGUUUAUAGAAGUGAAAUAGCUGUCACACCAUUCAUGUGACAUGGCCAUAAUGGCAUAGCUCAGCUGCUGUCAGGUAACUAUAGAAAAUGUAAUUUCAAACUUAAUUUCUGUUAUUACUCUGACCCACCUCUAUGCGGCAUUAAUGAAUAACAGCAUCUACCACUCAGAGUUAAUAUUAUUGUAACAUACCAUAGUUUAUGGGGUUUUGAUUUGGAAUUUCAUGGAAAUUUUCUAGGUGUGCACGAUGAAUUCUUUGCGCACGCGGCUGACAAGUUCAACACGCGCGGUUUGUUGAAUUUACGCGCGAGGAAGUUAAUUGCUUUUCCUCACACACAUUCACACUCCGACCAGUGCAUCGGGAGCAGCUUGACCAAUGAUAUUUGGCAUGCAAACUGGAGCUGGUUCGAACAAAGCUUCUGAUUAGUAAACAGCCACACCGGCAUGUAAAACACAUACAAACACUGACUUACAGUUUCACUUCUUUUGAAGAGAUGACGCACAAAAAGUGAAAUACAUUUUGUUUUACAUAUAAAGUUAACAUAAAAUGCGCGCGCGCACACACACACACACACACACCUUGUCAGUUAACUUACCACAUUCGCCUUACUUAUGACAAUUUCCGUCUACUUCGAGGCUUCCACAUGAACGCAGCAGCAUAUUUCCACUCCAGACUAGUGAAAUCCACGAGAAUGUUGGUUGUCAUCAGCAAGAGUCCAUGCUUCCUUAUAAAUUAAUAAUUAGGACUUAUAUUUUCCUCACACCCGCUUCUGUUCAAAGGGAAUUUUGUCGACAGAGUCCGUGUUCCUGCGAACGGCGGUGUACCAAACACGCACGCUGCCUAGGCCACACACUUCAAACAAACACAACAGGAAUGACUCAGCUGCUGCGUUUCCUCUUAACUGUCC